Molecule: ribosomal RNA, 253 nt
Filed under: uncultured bacterium
Lineage: Bacteria
Description: partial 16S ribosomal RNA
Rfam family: Bacterial small subunit ribosomal RNA
Source: RNAcentral
UACGUAGGCAGCAAGCGUUGUUCGGAAUUACUGGGCGUAAAGAGUGUGUAGGCGGUGUUCCAAGUCUGGUGUGAAAUCUCCCGGCUUAACUGGGAGGGUGCAUUAGAAACUGGAAUGCUAGAGGAUGGGAGAGGUAAGCGGAAUUCCUGGUGUAGCGGUGAAAUGCGUAGAUAUCGAGAGGAACACCAGUGGCGAAGGCGAGUCUCUGGACGACACCUGACACUGAGGCACGAAAGCUAGGGGAGCAAACAGG